AGGAGAAAAAAAAAUUCGUUUCUCCCUAAUGAUCCCUAGAGCCCUUUUUAUCUAGAUUCUUAGAAUAGGGAAAAGAGAAAAUUUUGAUUGUCGCUUGAAAUGAUCCCUAAAGCCCUUUAUAUAAGCUCAGGCGCGUCAAAAGAAGCAGACUCUCCUCCCGCUGAUUGAUGACAUGUCUUCUUGUACUCCUUUGAUCAUGCGGCUUGUUGCAUCUUGGCCGCACAUGCUUCCACUACAAGAA
RNAcentral lists this long non-coding RNA (241 nucleotides) under Phoenix dactylifera (date palm). Its description in RNAcentral is "long non-coding RNA (PDAC_LNC006769)". Lineage: Eukaryota; Viridiplantae; Streptophyta; Magnoliopsida; Arecales; Arecaceae. The record is from RNAcentral.